This 75-nucleotide transfer RNA is filed under the name Umbribacter vaginalis. Its description in RNAcentral is "Eggerthellaceae bacterium DNF00809 tRNA-Glu". It matches the Rfam family "tRNA". From Rfam's summary of the family: Transfer RNA (tRNA) molecules are approximately 80 nucleotides in length. Their secondary structure includes four short double-helical elements and three loops (D, anti-codon, and T loops). Further hydrogen bonds mediate the characteristic L-shaped molecular structure. tRNAs have two regions of fundamental functional importance: the anti-codon, which is responsible for specific mRNA codon recognition, and the 3' end, to which the tRNAs corresponding amino acid is attached (by aminoacyl-tRNA synthetases). tRNAs cope with the degeneracy of the genetic code in two manners: having more than one tRNA (with a specific anti-codon) for a particular amino acid; and 'wobble' base-pairing, i.e. permitting non-standard base-pairing at the 3rd anti-codon position. The record is from RNAcentral. Lineage: Bacteria; Bacillati; Actinomycetota; Coriobacteriia; Eggerthellales; Eggerthellaceae.
GUCCCCAUAGUCUAGAGGUUAGGACGCGGCCCUUUCAAGGCUGAGACACGAGUUCAAUUCUCGUUGGGGGCACCA